Long non-coding RNA from Magallana angulata, 2379 nucleotides. RefSeq lists it as uncharacterized. The record is from RefSeq and is a predicted model, not a curated record. NCBI's taxonomy places the organism in Eukaryota, Metazoa, Mollusca, Bivalvia, Ostreida, Ostreidae. The transcript is spliced from 3 exons.
AAUUAAUGUUCACCAGUAUAGAAUCACACCUGCAUACCAUUUACAACUUAUCCAUGCAUGGCUAACUCAGUGAAUCCAUUGGCUAUUAUUAUAGUGAACACUUCUCCCUGUGAUUUAAAUACCCAGUCACUAAGAAUUAGAACUCAUUGCAGAAGACAUUUACAGCAGAUAUCAUUGCUGAAGAAAUCAGAUGGGGACAGCGAACUUGGUUUUCUUUAACACCAAGCCAUUGAUAACAUCAAAGAAAAAUUUGCUAAAAUUCAUCAUUAUUGUCUCAUCACCAGGAAGAUGAAAAAAGAACCAGUCAGUAUAAAAAGUGCAGAAUUUCGCAAGUACAAUCUGAAUGAACUUUUUUCCGAAGAAGUGGAUCAGUACCUCUCACCCUCCCCAAAAAAAUACAUACAUGUAAAAAUAAUCAGGCUCCCAAGUAACUUUAUUAAAAAGAAUUAAAAAUCAAUCAAUUAAAAAUAAAAUCAACCAAUUAAAAAUCUAAUUAAUUAUAAAUAUUACAAUCUUGUUUGAUUUUUUUGCAAUUUUUCAAUUUUCAAUUCUUUAUUCGCUCAAGACCAGUUCACUGGUAUUUGAGGUUCAAAAUCAGUAUAUACAAAUGUACACGAUUACAGUCAAGGAUCACAUGUACAGUAGAAGUAAUGAUGACAAAAAAAAGGGUUAAAAUCAACAAUACAAUAGCUUGUUAAAGUUGGUUUCUGGAAGAACAGACUUUGAAAAUUUUCUUAAUAAAUAUUGACAAGUUUUCUUUUAGUUUUUCUACAUUAAAAGUAUUCAUGAGCUCGUUAAAUUUUAUAAUACUUGGGUUUUCAUAAAAUCUCUUGGGUAAAAACAUGUUUCUGUCGUUUGCCUCACACCGGACAAACCGAUCUCACACCGGUGAUAAUGCGAGAAACAAGCAACCCGUGCUAGUUGUUAGGGUUGAUUGUUUUAAGUUGUAGACAUCCAUUAUUUAUGAAUAAAAAUCUCUAUAUAUUCUGCUUCUGCAGGACAAAACUUUACAAUUUGGAAUAUCCCUUCAUAUCCCUUCUAUAUUAUUCAUCUACUUUGCAGAACUUCUCCCACAAUUGUAUCAUUGGUGUUCUGGAAAGGUAAACAACAGUUUUUGUUUGGCAUGAUAUUUUUUUUACCUGGCACCUGUCUCGAGUAACACUUGUCCUCAAGCAACCCGUGCUAGUGUUAGGGUUGAUUGUUUUAAGUUUAAAAGAUAUCCUUUAUCAUAAAAGUCUUCGAUUUGAAUAGCAAAUGUGCAUGUAAUACACAAUACACAAUUUUAAAAGAUGCAAAAAAACAACAAAAUAUUUUAAUUUUUUUAAAAAUGAAGUUUAUACAAUUGAAGAAAGAAAAAGAAAAGAAAUAUCAUGCCAACAGAUGAAAUCGAACAAUGAUACAAAAAACCAACUUUUUUAAAAAUUUGCAGUAAGUUACAGCAAUGGAACCAACUGAAUUAUUCAAACUUAUAAAUGUAACACGUAUAUACGGACCUCUUCAAUACAAUUAAGUUAUAAUGUAUUUUUUUUUAGGUUUUUUGGUUUAAAUCUAAUCCUGUUGUUGGUUAGUUGUUGCUUUUUAUAUAAACGGAUCGACGAAGGAUAAAAUGUAGUUUUGAAACUAUUGUAUGUUCAAAGGGCUUCGGUGUUUUACUUUAUAUUAGGGAAUCAAAUAAAUACAGUUUAGUACCAUUAUUUUUUUAAUGCCAGGAGAACAUCUUACUGCUUUGUUUGUAGUUUUGAUACCAUAAAGAUUUUUUGGAGUUCCUAAUAGAAUACAUUCUGUUUUGUUUAUGUUUCAUUUUAGAUCCAGCGUGUUUUCUAGAACCUUAAACAAGAAAUUCCACUCCACGGAAUCGAAUGCUUUUUCAAAGUCCAAGAAGAGUAAUAUGAUAUCAAGAUUUUCUGUUUCACAGUAUUCAAACACAUCUAUAGAAUUAAUCGAGUGUUUUUCCCGAUAUAUGUAUGCAGUUUGUUGUUCGCUAAUUAGUUUAGUUAAUAUAGUUUGUAAUCUUUUCGCAAAAAUGAAAGCAAUGAUUUGUUAAACUAAUUGGUCGGUAAUUUUUUAAGCUAUCUUUUCCCCCUUUUUGUAAAUUAAAGAUAUCAUAGAAAGUCUUUGAGAGUAUGCCAUUUCACCUCUUUGAAAUAUUUCAUUUAGAGCUUUGUAGAAAAAAGGACCGAUUACGUCCCAAAAACAUUGAUAAAACUCACAAGGUAAGCCAUCUAAACCAGGUGAUUUUUUCUUUUUUUAUGUUAAUUACUACCUCUCUACAUUCUUCAUAUGAGGGAAAAUUAUAAAAAUUUCUAUCAUCGUUUAAAUAACGAUGAUAGAAAUUUUAGGAUUUUCGCUUAUUUCCGACAGAUUUUCAAUUGGAAUAUU